UACGAAGGGGGCGAGCGUUGUUCGGAUUUACUGGGCGUAAAGGGCGCGCAGGCGGCGCAUUUUGUCAGGCGUGAAAGCCCCGGGCUUAACCUGGGACUGCGUUUGAUACGGAUGGGCUAGAGUUCGGGAGAGGAGAGUGGAAUUCCCAGUGUAGAGGUGAAUUCGUAGAUAAUUGGGAAGAACACCGGUGGCGAAGGCGGCUCACUGGGACCGGUAACUGACGCUGAUGCGCGAAGCGUGGGGAGCAAACGGG
RNAcentral lists this ribosomal RNA (253 nucleotides) under uncultured bacterium. RNAcentral describes it as "partial 16S ribosomal RNA". It matches the Rfam family "Bacterial small subunit ribosomal RNA", at positions 524 to 776 of the family's 1533-position model. The record is from RNAcentral.